GACGAACGCUGGCGGCGUGCUUAACACAUGCAAGUCGAACGGGCUCUGUCUGGCUGUGUGCUGGGUGGGGUUAGUGGCGAACGGGUGAGUAAUACGUGAGUAACCUGCCCUCUUCUUUGGGAUAAGCCUUGGAAACGGGGUCUAAUACUGGAUAUUCCUGUCUGGUCGCAUGGCUGGGUGGGGAAAGUUUUUUUCGGUGGGGGAUGGGCUCGCGGCCUAUCAGCUUGUUGGUGGGGUGAUGGCCUACCAAGGCGUCGACGGGUAGCCGGCCUGAGAGGGUGACCGGCCACACUGGGACUGAGAUACGGCCCAGACUCCUACGGGAGGCAGCAGUGGGGGAUAUUGCACAAUGGGUGCAAGCCUGAUGCAGCGACGCCGCGUGGGGGAUGACGGCUUUCGGGUUGUAAACCUCUUUCGUCGGGGGACAAGGCUCUGCUUGGUGGUGGGGUUGAGGGUACCCGGUGAAGAAGCGCCGGCUAACUACGU
RNAcentral lists this ribosomal RNA (486 nucleotides) under uncultured bacterium. Its description in RNAcentral is "partial 16S ribosomal RNA". It matches the Rfam family "Bacterial small subunit ribosomal RNA", at positions 28 to 506 of the family's 1533-position model. The record is from RNAcentral.